AGCGCAAACUAUUUAGGCGGAGUUCUUUUUUCAUAAGACAUAGAUAUAUUAUUAAUUUCCAUUACAGCAAGAUAUCACACAAUCUCUGUCCAAGCUCACCAGUAAUUGCCUUUCAUUGCAAGAUAUCUUUGCCUUGACUCCACUAUGCUUGAGGGAGCUAUAACUUUCUUUGAUUAUAUGACUUUAGCUUAAGAGAAUCAUGUCCCAGCUUUCAUUUUUAGAUCUUAUUGCAGUAUAAUAUAUUAGUCAGCAUUUUAAGAAUCCUUCCCCCUUCCCUUUUUGAUCAACAUUAAGAGUGAAUUUCAAGUUGUUGGUUAUAAUGCUUUCUUGUGUGGAAACUGGAAAGUAGUAGUAGCAUUGAUUAGGUUUAAAAUUUGAAUUAAAGCUGAUUAAAGUGAGAAAAGAGCUACAGAAGGGAAAUUGGUGGCAGAUUUUGAAGCGGCAAACAGUGUCUGAGCUUGGUAGAGUAAG
Molecule: unclassified non-coding RNA, 471 nt
Filed under: Hevea brasiliensis (rubber tree)
Lineage: Eukaryota; Viridiplantae; Streptophyta; Magnoliopsida; Malpighiales; Euphorbiaceae
Source: RNAcentral